RNAcentral lists this ribosomal RNA (478 nucleotides) under uncultured organism. RNAcentral's name for it is "partial 16S ribosomal RNA". It matches the Rfam family "Bacterial small subunit ribosomal RNA", at positions 332 to 801 of the family's 1533-position model. The record is from RNAcentral.
UACACUCCUACGGGAGGCAGCAGUGGGGAAUUUUGGACAAUGGGCGAAAGCCUGAUCCAGCAAUGCCGCGUGAGUGAAGAAGGCCUUCGGGUUGUAAAGCUCUUUUGUCAGGGAAGAAACGGUGAAAGCUAAUAUCUUUUGCUAAUGACGGUACCUGAAGAAUAAGCACCGGCUAACUACGUGCCAGCAGCCGCGGUAAUACGUAGGGUGCAAGCGUUAAUCGGAAUUACUGGGCGUAAAGCGUGCGCAGGCGGUUUUGUAAGUCUGAUGUGAAAUCCCCGGGCUCAACCUGGGAAUUGCAUUGGAGACUGCAAGGCUAGAAUCUGGCAGAGGGGGGUAGAAUUCCACGUGUAGCAGUGAAAUGCGUAGAUAUGUGGAGGAACACCGAUGGCGAAGGCAGCCCCCUGGGUCAAGAUUGACGCUCAUGCACGAAAGCGUGGGGAGCAAACAGGAUUAGAAACCCGUGUAGUCCCAUGAU